RNAcentral lists this ribosomal RNA (484 nucleotides) under uncultured bacterium. RNAcentral describes it as "partial 16S ribosomal RNA". It matches the Rfam family "Bacterial small subunit ribosomal RNA", at positions 30 to 507 of the family's 1533-position model. The record is from RNAcentral.
AUUGAACGCUGGCGGCAGGCCUAACACAUGCAAGUCGAGCGGGUGAAGGGAGCUUGCUCCUGGAUUCAGCGGCGGACGGGUGAGUAAUGCCUAGGAAUCUGCCUGGUAGUGGGGGAUAACGUCCGGAAACGGGCGCUAAUACCGCAUACGUCCUGAGGGAGAAAGUGGGGGAUCUUCGGACCUCACGCUAUCAGAUGAGCCUAGGUCGGAUUAGCUAGUUGGUGGGGUAAAGGCCUACCAAGGCGACGAUCCGUAACUGGUCUGAGAGGAUGAUCAGUCACACUGGAACUGAGACACGGACCAGACUCCUAAGGGAGGCAGCAGUGGGGAAUGUUGGACAAUGGGCGAAAGCAUGAUCCAGCCAAGCCGCGUGUGUGAAGAAGGUCUUCGGAUUGUAAAGCACUUUAAGUUGGGAGGAAGGGCAGUAAGUUAAUACCUUGCUGUUUUGACGUUACCAACAGAAUAAGCAACGGCUAACUUCGUG